RNAcentral lists this microRNA precursor (93 nucleotides) under Alligator mississippiensis (American alligator). RNAcentral's name for it is "microRNA ami-mir-365 precursor (ami-mir-365-1)". Its record names the gene ami-mir-365-1. It matches the Rfam family "mir-365 microRNA precursor family". RNAcentral also lists the same sequence under 1 other name. Lineage: Eukaryota; Metazoa; Chordata; Crocodylia; Alligatoridae. The record is from miRBase by way of RNAcentral.
UUACCGCAGGGAAAAUGAGGGACUUUUGGGGGCAGUUGUGUUUCCAUUACACUAUCAUAAUGCCCCUAAAAAUCCUUAUUGCUCUUGCAGUAU